This is an unclassified non-coding RNA of Fukomys damarensis (Damara mole-rat), 309 nucleotides long. Its record names the gene 7SK. It matches the Rfam family "7SK RNA". From Rfam's summary of the family: 7SK was discovered as an abundant small nuclear RNA in the mid-70s but a possible function has only recently been suggested. Lineage: Eukaryota; Metazoa; Chordata; Mammalia; Rodentia; Bathyergidae. The record is from Ensembl.
GGAUGUGAGGGCGAUCUGGCUGCAACAGGUCACCCCCAUUGACCGUCAGGGCCGAUUCAGCUGAUCUGGCUGGCUAGGCGGUGUCCCCUUCCUCCCUCACCGCUCCAUGUGCGUCCCUCCUGAAUCUGCACACCCAGGUGAAGAUGACGUGACCAUGCCUGAUGGAGGAGGACCGUUUCCUAGGUCAGCGGUAUACGAGUAGCUGUGCUCCCCGGCUAGAGCCUCCAAAUAAGCUCUCAAAAGUAUAUGUCUUGGAGGGGGAUGGAGGAGAUGAAAUAAAAUGAAAUAAAUUUUAUUUUAAAAAGUAUA